Sapajus apella (tufted capuchin) is the source of this 5442-nucleotide RNA transcript. It is a transcript of the gene named solute carrier family 12 member 6, with no coding region annotated. Lineage: Eukaryota; Metazoa; Chordata; Mammalia; Primates; Cebidae. The record is from RefSeq and is a predicted model, not a curated record. The transcript is spliced from 25 exons.
ACGCUGUCACCGCGGGCUGCGGAGGCUGGGCGGGGCUUUCGGGCGCCCGCGGGAUGGUUCUGCCCUCUCACUGCACCCCCGGGCUUCUCUUCUGAAGGUUCACCUCGAAUGAGGAACGAGCGGGGAGGGAAGGGAAGGGCUGCGGCGGCGCGGGCACAGCCCGCCGGGCCCGGGGCUGGGGGAGGCCAGGUCACGUAACUGCUGCUCUGGCGUCGGGCUGGGGAGGGGGCACUAGCCCCACCAGGGCGAGCCCUGCGUGCGCCGCGGCUCGGAAACAGUUACCGGCUAGUAAACAACAGCUGCGCGCGCACCCGCAUCAGCUGGCGCUGGGAUACCGCACCUGCGACCUCCUUCUCCCUCAUCCCGCUGCUCACUCCUGCCCAGUCAGGCCAGCCUGAGCUGCCAUCUCCUUCUCUGCUGGGACCCGGUGGAAGAACGGCGAGGGGGUGACCUGCGCUGGGGCCGGGGUAGGAGUGAACGCGCCUCCCGGCAAAGGGGUGGCCCGUUCUGUCACAGGCGGGAGAAACCUAGCGAGCGGACCGUGGCUCAGUGGACUAGCAACGACCUGCCGCGACUCUGAGCUGCAGUCCGAGGUGUCUUGAUCCGUUAACCUCCUCCCACACCCCGGGGACCUUUCUGCCAGGAGAAGAGCGGGCGCGCCACCCCCGCAGACUUCUCGGAGACGGGAAUCCGCUCAGCCCCUCAUCCUCCUCUGCUCACCCUUCUCUCAGUAGUGUGGGUUAUUUUUCCCGUUAUGCAUGCGCACCUUUCCCACCAAAACCAAGUGGAUUAUCGACCACAAAAACACCGGGUGGCUUUGCACACACCUCCCCCCAGCCAGACCUGUGGGGUAUUCACCUGAUACACAACAGGUGGCCGGGUGUACAUCUUUUUGCAAUCUGACUCCACGCUGUAGUUGCCUGAUAAAGGUGGGCCUGCACGCACUUUGGUCAACCAGAACCGUGGGACACCCAUCAGAUAAAGGACUACCUCGACAGGAACCUGGGGGCUGAGGGGAGGGAGGCUUCAUCUGCUGCUCUGAGACCAUGGCACUGAACCUUUAGCCCUGGACCAGAGAGGAUAGCUAGAGAGCUCUUCAUUCUGAAGGAAAGAAGUCACACAAGAUUGGCAUUGUUUUGUCUUUUUGUUUUUUGGUUUUUUUCUCUCAAAAAAAAAAUAUAUAUAUUCACCUAUUGGUGGUGCACUUUCUGGGAUUGUCGGCUGGAAUUCUGAGUAGAAGGAUUCUUAGUUGGGGCUUUUUGUGUGGUGUGAAUCAAGGUUAUUGAGAUGUGUUUUUUCUCAAGUUAUCUUUUGUAUUAUUGCAGUCAGAAGUAGCGUAAGAGGACGAUUUUGCGAGGUUCCCCCCGCUUUUUUGUUGUUGUUGUUCGUAAAAAGGAAAAAAAAAAAUGCAUCCUCCAGAAACCACCACCAAGAUGGCUUCAGUUCGGUUCAUGGUGACACCGACAAAGAUCGAUGACAUUCCAGGUUUGUCAGACACCAGUCCGGACCUCAGCUCUCGAUCUAGUUCCCGAGUAAGAUUUAGCUCCCGAGAAAGUGUGCCUGAAACAAGUCGUAGUGAGCCUAUGAGUGAGAUGUCUGGGGCCACCACUUCGCUGGCAACUGUUGCACUGGAUCCACCCAGUGACCGGACUUCUCACCCCCAGGAUGUCACCGAGGACCUGAGUCAGAACUCCAUCACAGGGGAACACAGCCAGCUGUUAGAUGAUGGACAUAAGAAAGCUCGAAACGCUUACCUGAAUAAUUCCAAUUAUGAAGAAGGAGAUGAAUAUUUUGAUAAAAAUUUGGCACUCUUUGAGGAAGAAAUGGACACCAGACCGAAGGUGUCUUCUCUCCUCAACCGUAUGGCCAAUUACACUAAUCUGACUCAAGGAGCAAAGGAACAUGAAGAGGCAGAAAACAUCACUGAAGGGAAGAAGAAGCCCACCAAGACCCCCCAAAUGGGUACCUUCAUGGGUGUCUACCUCCCAUGUCUACAAAAUAUUUUUGGAGUGAUCCUUUUUUUACGCCUUACAUGGGUGGUGGGCACAGCUGGAGUUCUUCAGGCUUUUGCAAUUGUCCUUAUCUGCUGCUGCUGUACUAUAUUGACUGCUAUCUCCAUGAGUGCCAUUGCCACUAAUGGAGUGGUGCCAGCUGGGGGCUCAUACUUUAUGAUUUCCCGAGCACUGGGCCCAGAAUUUGGCGGGGCUGUUGGCCUCUGUUUUUAUCUUGGUACCACAUUUGCAGCAGCCAUGUACAUUCUUGGUGCCAUUGAAAUCUUUCUGGUAUAUAUCGUUCCCCGGGCUGCCAUCUUUCGCAGUGAUGAUGCACUCAAGGAAGCAGCAGCCAUGCUAAAUAACAUGCGUGUCUAUGGCACAGCUUUCUUGGUCCUUAUGGUAUUAGUGGUAUUUAUCGGCGUACGCUAUGUGAACAAGUUUGCCUCACUUUUUCUGGCCUGUGUCAUUGUGUCCAUCUUGGCCAUCUAUGCUGGAGCCAUCAAGUCUUCCUUUGCCCCUCCACACUUCCCGGUCUGCAUGCUGGGUAACCGCACCCUUUCAUCAAGACACAUUGAUGUUUGCUCUAAGACCAAGGAAAUUAACAACAUGACAGUCCCAUCAAAGUUAUGGAGAUUCUUUUGUAACUCGAGUCAAUUUUUCAAUGCCACCUGUGAUGAAUACUUUGUUCACAAUAAUGUCACUUCAAUCCAGGGCAUUCCUGGAUUGGCUAGUGGUAUCAUUACAGAGAAUCUUUGGAGUAAUUAUCUGCCCAAGGGAGAGAUCAUUGAAAAGCCAUCAGCCAAAUCUUCUGAUGUCUUAGGCAGCUUAAACCAUGAAUAUGUUCUUGUUGACAUCACCACCUCCUUCACGCUUCUAGUGGGAAUCUUCUUUCCCUCUGUUACAGGUAUCAUGGCUGGAUCAAACAGAUCUGGAGAUCUGAAAGAUGCUCAGAAGUCUAUUCCCAUUGGUACUAUCCUUGCCAUCCUGACCACCUCCUUUGUCUAUUUAAGCAACGUUGUCCUUUUUGGUGCAUGUAUUGAAGGGGUUGUUCUCAGAGACAAAUUUGGGGAUGCUGUGAAAGGUAAUUUGGUGGUGGGCACCUUAUCUUGGCCAUCCCCAUGGGUGAUUGUUAUUGGCUCCUUCUUUUCAACGUGUGGGGCUGGACUUCAGAGCCUCACAGGUGCACCAAGGCUGCUACAAGCUAUUGCUAAGGAUAACAUCAUACCAUUUCUAAGAGUUUUUGGCCACAGCAAAGCCAAUGGGGAACCUACCUGGGCUUUACUUCUAACUGCUGCCAUUGCAGAGCUUGGAAUACUUAUUGCCUCCCUGGAUCUUGUGGCCCCAAUUCUUUCCAUGUUUUUUCUCAUGUGUUACCUCUUUGUAAACUUGGCAUGUGCCUUGCAAACAUUACUUCGAACACCCAACUGGAGACCCCGAUUCCGCUACUACCAUUGGGCCCUUUCUUUCAUGGGAAUGAGUAUCUGUCUGGCUCUGAUGUUCAUUUCUUCCUGGUAUUAUGCCAUUGUAGCCAUGGUAAUAGCUGGUAUGAUCUACAAGUACAUUGAGUACCAAGGAGCUGAGAAAGAAUGGGGUGAUGGUAUCCGGGGGCUGUCCCUCAGUGCAGCCCGGUUUGCUUUGCUUCGGUUGGAGGAAGGACCUCCACACACUAAAAACUGGAGGCCUCAGUUGCUUGUAUUACUGAAACUAGAUGAAGACUUACAUGUCAAGCAUCCUCGCCUCCUCACCUUUGCCUCACAGCUCAAAGCAGGAAAAGGUCUUACUAUUGUGGGCUCUGUCAUCGUGGGGAACUUCCUAGAGAACUAUGGUGAAGCUUUAGCUGCUGAGCAGACCAUAAAGCACCUAAUGGAGGCAGAGAAGGUAAAAGGAUUCUGCCAGCUGGUGGUGGCCGCCAAACUGAGAGAGGGCAUUUCCCACCUCAUCCAGUCAUGUGGCCUUGGGGGCAUGAAGCACAACACAGUGGUGAUGGGCUGGCCUAAUGGCUGGCGUCAAAGCGAAGAUGCCCGCGCUUGGAAGACUUUCAUUGCAAUGUGGAACAAUUUUCUGAAGGCAACAUUGAUGUGUGGUGGAUUGUGCAUGAUGGGGGGAUGCUCAUGCUACUACCAUUCCUACUGAAACAGCACAAGGUGUGGCGAAAGUGCAGCAUACGGAUCUUCACAGUAGCCCAACUAGAAGACAACAGUAUCCAGAUGAAGAAGGACCUAGCCACCUUCCUGUAUCACUUGCGCAUUGAGGCGGAGGUAGAAGUGGUGGAGAUGGUGAGAAAGCUGAGUUUGAGAUACAAGAGCAUGACAGUGACAUAUCAGCUUAUACUUAUGAGCGCACUUUGAUGAUGGAGCAGAGGUCCCAGAUGCUCCGGCACAUGCGGCUAUCCAAAACAGAGCGAGACAGAGAGGCACAGUUGGUGAAAGAUCGAAACUCAAUGCUACGAUUGACCAGCAUUGGCUCUGAUGAGGAUGAAGAGACAGAAACCUAUCAGGAGAAGGUACACAUGACUUGGACAAAAGACAAGUACAUGGCAUCCCGGGGGCAAAAAGCCAAGUCAAUGGAAGGAUUUCAGGACCUGCUUAACAUGCGUCCAGACCAGUCCAAUGUGAGGCGGAUGCAUACAGCAGUUAAACUCAAUGAGGUUAUAGUUAACAAGUCCCAUGAAGCAAAGCUGGUUUUAUUGAAUAUGCCAGGGCCACCACGAAACCCCGAGGGUGAUGAAAACUACAUGGAGUUCCUAGAGGUGCUUACCGAGGGACUAGAGCGAGUCCUGCUUGUCCGGGGUGGUGGCAGUGAAGUGAUCACCAUUUAUUCAUAAUCUACUCUGAAUGACUGUGCUUGGCCUGUUUUCUUAAAAAGACCUACAUCCUCCAUGGAAGUGCCAGCUCAUUACUACCACUCCCACUCAACUAGAAGCCUGUGUUGUAUACGCAUCACACUGAACUCUUGAUGAGCUGAGCUUCAAGUACCUGUGUUAAAGAGCUCCCAUCUGAUCUACAGUCCUUACAGAAAAAGCAAGUACUCCCUCAACAUCAGAACAAUGUUCAAGUCUUAGGAGCCACGUCUGACCAGUCAAAGGCAAGUUAGAAUUAACAAGCUGAGCCAAUAAAUGAAUUGGUAAAAGGGAUGCUAGAAAUUCAACUGAAGAAAAAAAGUCAAGUACAUAUUCGACAUUAAAGAUGAAUCUCAGAAGCCAUGGUUCAAUGAUGGCACUGUGGGGAUGACCACCAGACACAGCUUCAUCUUACUGAAGAAUUUAUGGUCAAGUAUAUGUGGACCUAUUAUCCUUGGCAAGCCAAGAUGCGAACAUUUUUUAGCUCUAUUUCUUUAGUAUACCCACUGCUCUAAUUUUAUAUUAGGAUACUAAUGUACAAAACUUGAAACACAGCUGCAGCCUCUACUUCUUCAUAAAUAUUUCCCCCAAAAACCAGAUUUAAGUAUC